RNAcentral lists this small RNA (308 nucleotides) under Hop stunt viroid. The record is from RNAcentral.
UAACCCGGGGCAACUCUUCUCAGAAUCCAGCGAGAGGCGUGGAGAGAGGGCCGCGGUGCUCUGGAGUAGAGGCUCUGCCUUCGAAACACCAUCGAUCGUCCCUUCUUCUUUACCUUCUUCUGGCUCUUCCGAUGAGACGCGACCGGUGGCAUCACCUCUCGGUUCGUCCCAACCUGCUUUUUGUCUAUCUGAGCCUCUGCCGCGGAUCCUCUCUUGAGCCCCUCUGGGGAAUUCUCGAGUUGCCGCAUCAGGCAAGCAAAGAAAAAACAAGGCAGGGAGGUACUUACCUGAGAAAGGAGCCCCGGGUU